GAGCUGAAGCUCAGUGGUAGAGCACUUGUCUAGCAUGCAUGAGGCACUGGGUUCAAUCCCCAGCACCACA
RNAcentral lists this transfer RNA (70 nucleotides) under Marmota monax (woodchuck). RNAcentral's name for it is "tRNA.Ala". The stretch from base 5 to 65 matches the Rfam family "tRNA", at positions 6 to 65 of the family's 71-position model. From Rfam's summary of the family: Transfer RNA (tRNA) molecules are approximately 80 nucleotides in length. Their secondary structure includes four short double-helical elements and three loops (D, anti-codon, and T loops). The record is from RNAcentral. Lineage: Eukaryota; Metazoa; Chordata; Mammalia; Rodentia; Sciuridae.